UACGGAGGGUGCAAGCGUUAUCCGGAUUUACUGGGUUUAAAGGGUGUGUAGGCGGGUCUAUAAGUCAGUGGUGAAAUCUCCGGGCUCAACCCGGAAACUGCCAUUGAUACUAUAGGUCUUGAAUAUUGUGGAGGUGGGCGGAAUGUGUCAUGUAGCGGUGAAAUGCUUAGAGAUGACACAGAACACCGAUUGCGUAGGCAGCCCACUAAGCAACGAUUGACGCUGAGGCACGAAAGCGUGGGGAUCAAACAGG
Molecule: ribosomal RNA, 253 nt
Filed under: uncultured bacterium
Lineage: Bacteria
Description: partial 16S ribosomal RNA
Rfam family: Bacterial small subunit ribosomal RNA
Source: RNAcentral